UUCACGUGUUGAUAUUGUUACUCUUUUGAAGUCUUUUGAUGAUGAAAAGUUCUGGUGACCUUUUAUUCCCCUGCCGUGGUCCAGCACAUCCGCUCAACGAAUGAGGUGACGAGAAAUUCUAGAAAAGUGAAAUCAUUUUGAACGCUUAGGUUGCCCUUCUAUGAGAGGGGAUUAAGAAAUCUGCAUUGAGAUUGCAGCCCAAGAAAGCAGAGCAGUGAGAGACCUUAAUUUUGACUGGUGGCAGGAAUUCAGCUAGAUAGCUAUAAAAUCAUUCUGAACACCUGUGAAAUCGAGGGGAGUUCAAAGAAAAGAAUACCUGCAACUCAUCAGAUAGAAAAGUGACCGUGUUCUGCCAGUAAGCUGCCAUGCUGGAGAAGCCCACUUGAUAAGGAACCAGCCAGCCCCAGACAAGAGCCCACAAGGUACUAAAGAUCUCAUUCCAAUAGACUUUGAGGAACUGUAUCAUGCCAGCAACUAUGUGAAUGAGUACAGGAGUUGGUCCUUCCCCAGUCAAGCCUCCAGAUGAGAAUGUAGUAGCCUCAGCUGACACCUUAAUUGCAGCCUUGAAGCAGAGAAUCCAGGAUCCAGACAUCAGCAAUACAAAUUUGGAUAAAAAUGAGUGUCUGCGGGAGCAUCUGGGUUGCACAGUUGGCUACCUAUGGCUUCCCAUCAUCUCCCAAGAGAGGAAAAAAACAGAACACUCCUAAGGAAUGGGCAGCUGUGAAGCAGGGAAUGAAGCAGCAAGCAGGAACUUCAUCAGCAUAAGACAAGGAUGAAGCAGGCCUGAGCUGGAGCAGAAAGAAGACUAACACUACUAAGUCAAACUUGGACUUCUGAUUACUUUAUGGGAAUUCUCAUCUGAGCAUACCUUCUCACCCAUGGCCAGAGGUUCUUACUCAGGGUCAUGGACCCAUUGCCACUAUGGGUAGAAAUCCAUAUUUCUAAUUUGAGACAAAAAGCAGAUGUUUAUUUUCACUAACUAAACUCUAACUGAAAUUUAGCAUUUCAUUUCACAUAAAAUGCAACAAAAUGUAGUAAUAUCACUGGUACCUGUGACUCUAUGACCAACAAAACCAUGGUUAUUCAUAAUUUACUCUAGAUUGGUGUAGACAUCU
Mustela lutreola (European mink) is the source of this 1115-nucleotide long non-coding RNA. RefSeq lists it as uncharacterized. The transcript is spliced from 6 exons. The record is from RefSeq and is a predicted model, not a curated record. Lineage: Eukaryota; Metazoa; Chordata; Mammalia; Carnivora; Mustelidae.